UGGGGAAUAUUGGACAAUGGGCGCAAGCCUGAUCCAGCCAUGCCGCGUGAGUGAUGAAGGUCUUAGGAUUGUAAAGCUCUUUCACCGGAGAAGAUAAUGACGGUAUCCGGAGAAGAAGCCCCGGCUAACUUCGUGCCAGCAGCCGCGGUAAUACGAAGGGGGCUAGCGUUGUUCGGAAUUACUGGGCGUAAAGCGCACGUAGGCGGAUAUUUAAGUCAGGGGUGAAAUCCCAGAGCUCAACUCUGGAACUGCCUUUGAUACUGGGUAUCUAGAGUAUGGAAGAGGUGAGUGGAAUUCCGAGUGUAGAGGUGAAAUUCGUAGAUAUUCGGAGGAACACCAGUGGCGAAGGCGGCUCACUGGUCCAUUACUGACGCUGAGGUGCGAAAGCGUGGGGAGCAAACAGG
RNAcentral lists this ribosomal RNA (404 nucleotides) under uncultured bacterium. Its description in RNAcentral is "bacterial SSU rRNA". It matches the Rfam family "Bacterial small subunit ribosomal RNA", at positions 355 to 776 of the family's 1533-position model. The record is from RNAcentral.